Molecule: ribosomal RNA, 384 nt
Filed under: uncultured Actinomycetes bacterium
Lineage: Bacteria; Bacillati; Actinomycetota; Actinomycetes
Description: bacterial SSU rRNA
Rfam family: Bacterial small subunit ribosomal RNA
Source: RNAcentral
GAGUUUGAUCGUGGCUCAGGACGAACGCUGGCGGCGUGCUUAACACAUGCAAGUCGAACGGUGAACCACCUUCGGGUGGGGAUCAGUGGCGAACGGGUGAGUAACACGUGGGCAACCUGCCCUUAGCUCUGGGAUAACCCCGGGAAACCGGGGCUAAUACCGGAUACGACUCCGAGCGGCAUCACUCGGGGUGGAAAGUUUUUCGGCUAAGGAUGGGCCCGCGGCCUAUCAGCUUGUUGGUGGGGUAACGGCCUACCAAGGCGACGACGGGUAGCCGGCCUGAGAGGGCGACCGGCCACACUGGGACUGAGACACGGCCCAGACUCCUACGGGAGGCAGCAGUGGGGAAUAUUGCGCAAUGGGCGAAAGCCUGACGCAGCGACA